UUUAAAGGAUAAAAGUAAUCCAUUGGUCUUA
This 31-nucleotide transfer RNA is filed under the name Sceloporus aeneus (Southern bunchgrass lizard). Its description in RNAcentral is "partial tRNA-Leu". Lineage: Eukaryota; Metazoa; Chordata; Lepidosauria; Squamata; Phrynosomatidae. The record is from RNAcentral.